CCUUAUAUCAGCUUCUAUCUGUGUCCGAAAAUUUGUUUCUGCCAACAAUGCCCCAGCUAAAAAUGCUCCAAGCGUAUCACUAAAGCCCAACUUUUGUGUGAUAAGGGAAGUCCCAGUAACUGUUAACAGACAAAGAGCAACAAAGGCUUCUGAGCUCCUUGCUUCUGCCACAACCUCAAAAACUCGCCUUAGAAUAUAUUUUCCCCCAAGAGAAAGCAAUCCCAAUCCACCUAAAGCCUUUAAACUUUCUUUAGCAAGCAUUGGCCAGAUACUUUCCUCAAC
Molecule: unclassified non-coding RNA, 282 nt
Filed under: Hevea brasiliensis (rubber tree)
Lineage: Eukaryota; Viridiplantae; Streptophyta; Magnoliopsida; Malpighiales; Euphorbiaceae
Source: RNAcentral